RNAcentral lists this transfer RNA (73 nucleotides) under Camelus bactrianus (Bactrian camel). It matches the Rfam family "tRNA". From Rfam's summary of the family: Transfer RNA (tRNA) molecules are approximately 80 nucleotides in length. Their secondary structure includes four short double-helical elements and three loops (D, anti-codon, and T loops). Further hydrogen bonds mediate the characteristic L-shaped molecular structure. tRNAs have two regions of fundamental functional importance: the anti-codon, which is responsible for specific mRNA codon recognition, and the 3' end, to which the tRNAs corresponding amino acid is attached (by aminoacyl-tRNA synthetases). tRNAs cope with the degeneracy of the genetic code in two manners: having more than one tRNA (with a specific anti-codon) for a particular amino acid; and 'wobble' base-pairing, i.e. permitting non-standard base-pairing at the 3rd anti-codon position. The record is from Rfam by way of RNAcentral. RNAcentral also lists the same sequence under 2 other names. Lineage: Eukaryota; Metazoa; Chordata; Mammalia; Artiodactyla; Camelidae.
GAGGGUAUAGCUCAAGUGGUAGAGCACAUGCUUAGCAUGCAUAAGGUCCUGGGUUCAAUCCCUGGUACCUCCU